Rattus norvegicus (Norway rat) is the source of this 2484-nucleotide non-coding RNA. NCBI's taxonomy places the organism in Eukaryota, Metazoa, Chordata, Mammalia, Rodentia, Muridae. The record is from RefSeq and is a predicted model, not a curated record.
AUGGUAGGGAGAAAGAGAGGUGAGGAAGCGGGGGGGGGGGGGGGGGAGUCCCAUUCUCCCAGUACCCUGGGGGCCCUGAGUGGAAUCAGUCUAUCCGGCUGGGGAGGUUGAAUGGAAGGGCCCAGGUCAAGGGUCAGUCUCUGGCAUGUAGCUAGAUCCCUAGGGAGGCUGAGGAGCCUGAGAAACAGGCUGGAAAAAAAAGUGGCUCCCUUCCCCCUUCCCCAGAGGCUUUUGGGACUGGAGAAUAGCUUCCUGUAUGGACAACUUUUCUGUCCCUUCUGCUGAGGAUGUCUUAACUCUUCUGGUGCUGGUAUCAGAGAAGCCCACUGUACUCACUGCUCUUUCACUCUGAGGUGGGGUAAGAGGACAUCAUUCAAACCCAGAGCUUUUUAGGGUUAGAGAGCCCCCACCCCAAAGGAACGAGGAGCCCAGGCUGAGAAGAAAUUACCUUUAAAGUCAGAAAGGAAACAUGGUUUGUGUUUCUGUCUGCAACUGGGGUUGUGACCUUGCAGAGUUCCUCAACUUGGCCCUUUGGAUGCAGCCUUGGGAAAGCAGGAGGGACACAAGGCAGAGAUGUUGGCGCUUAGAGGAGCAGAGGGAGAAUACCUGUUGCUUCUCCGUGCCCCAAGACCUCAGAUACUGAACUUCAGUGCUCCCCUCUCCAGCUGCCUCUACAAAAGGCAAGAAGCAGCUUGCUUCUUCCACCCCUCAAUAGGGGUAGAGAGCCAUGUCAUUUCUGUCAGUUGGACCUGGUCCAGAGGUUGGAUGCAGCAUGGUCUUUCUAAGACAGAGACAGCUUGGCAGCGUGACCUUGGGUAAGUUCUGUGGGUCUCCAUUUCCUCACCUGCAAAAUGAGGCUCUGCUAACACCUACUGCAAGGGCUGUUGGGAGUGCAAAUGAGAUAGUACCCUUGGAUGGUUGGUUAUACAGUGCCUAGUGUUUGGUGAGCUCCAUUAAUAGCGGCUAUUGUUGCCUUCACCUCCCCCCACCACCUCCGGCAGCUCCCUACCCUGCUCUCCCUCCUGCUACCUUCCCUGAGGAUAACAGAUAUGCCCAGGUCCUUACUCUGGCCUCACUGGGAUGAAAAUAUAUCUUCCUGAAGCUGGGGCUUCACGGCAUCUUAAAGGAGACGGAAGAGUGGGUUGCUGUGAGAGAAAGCCAUAGGCUGAGGGUGCUGGGAAUUCACCGGAGGAGGGCAGAAGAAGGUCAGAGGCCAAUGCUCCCUCUUCCUUUCAGCUGCUGGGGUCGGGUCUCUCAUCCCGCUAGGCAGGGAGAGUAGAAACUGAGAGCUCCUUAUCAAGUUAGCUUGGAGCCGAUGUCUCUGGCUGUCUCUACAUAUUAUCCGACCCAUCCAUCCGCUCUCCUGCACGCCCUCCCUGCCCCCAGCCCUGCCUGUGCUAACUAGUUAAUUGGAUCUUGGCUAACCUGGUUAUGGACCGAGUCAGCGGGCUCCUCAGCCUCAAGAAGCCGGAGUGGGGGAGGGGGCAGAGCCGUGCAUGUGAGUGUGUGAGCAUGUGUAUCUGUCUAGGAGCCUGUCUCUGAGCUCUUAUCUAAGCCUCUAGGGAUCCUAUAACCCGUGGGCCUUAAUCUGCAUGCUUCAGAGGAACCCAGAGCACCCAGCUUCACUGAAAGAGUGCAGGUCACGGAUCACAUGACCCUUCGCUCAAAGCCGACGGGACCCGCUAACAGCCCAUCUAGCCUGAAGGCAUAAAGAUGGAAAGUGUAGAUGAUUCUCAGUCUCCUCCUCUGUAAAAUGGGAUUAUAAAAUUUACCACCUCAGGGGAGUCAUUUGUGAAGAUCAAAAGGAACAGCGCGCACAGCUGUGCUUGGUGCUUAGUAGGCGCUCUGUGCGUGGUAACUGAUCACCUCCACCACCAUUAAUCAAACUGGGUUCCAGCCAGGUUCCUGGGAUCCUGGGGGCUGGGCAGAGGGGUCUGGGGUGGAGGUGGAAAUGCUUUCAUUCACAGCAGCUUGCAGGUGCUUCCUCUGAGGCAGGACUCCAAUCUCCUCAAUUGUUUCUUAUGCAAAUGUUAUGCUAAUGAUCUUGUCAUUGUACCCCAGUACCCAGCAAGAGGAGGGUGGGCUAUUUCCCCAGGUUUCACUCUGACCAACUAUGUCCCUUCCCUUUCCAAAGAGAAGCAGUGUUGAUCCACCUAAGAGGCAGUCCUCAGAGCACUGAGCUGUUAGAGCGAAAAACAAAGAAAGGCCUGGGCCUGGGUAGAAAGACAGCCUUAUCUAGGCAAGCAUCAUCAACAUCAAAACGGCCUUUGGAAACGUCAGAUUCUUCCCCGCCCUGUGCAGACUACUCUUCAAUUACGGAGGCCCAGCCCCUGGCCCUCAGGGUGCUGGAACUGGGGAAGGGGUGGGAAGGGGGAGAGGGGAGGAAGGAGGGAGGGAAGGAGGGUAACAGAGAGAGACAGAGACAGAGACAAGACACAGACAGACGGAGACAGAGAAAGGCAGAGACGGAGAGAGAGACAGAAA